Molecule: ribosomal RNA, 467 nt
Filed under: uncultured bacterium
Lineage: Bacteria
Description: partial 16S ribosomal RNA
Rfam family: Bacterial small subunit ribosomal RNA
Source: RNAcentral
GACGAACGCUGGCGGCGUGCUUAACACAUGCAAGUCGAACGGAAAGGCCUCUUUCGGGGGGUACUCGAGUGGCGAACGGGUGAGUAACACGUGAGUAAUCUGCCCUUGACUUUGGGAUAACUUCAGGAAACUGGGGCUAAUACCGGAUAGGAGCUCCUGCUGCAUGGUGGGGGGUGGAAAGUUUCGGAGGUAGGGGAUGGACUCGCGGGCUAUCAGCUUGUUGGGGGGGUUGUGGCUUACCAAGGCCUUGACGGGUAGCCGGCCUGGGAGGGUGACCGGCCACAUUGGGACUGAGAGACGGCCCAGACUCCUACGGGAGGCAGCAGUGGGGAAUAUUGCACAAUGGGUGGAAGCCUGAUGCAGCAACGCCGUGUGCGGGAUGACGGCUUUCGGGUUGUAAACCGCUUUCGCUCAUGACGAAGCUUUGUGUGACGGUAGUGGGUAAAGAAGCACCGGCUAACUACGUG